Phoenix dactylifera (date palm) is the source of this 1012-nucleotide non-coding RNA. The record is from RefSeq and is a predicted model, not a curated record. NCBI's taxonomy places the organism in Eukaryota, Viridiplantae, Streptophyta, Magnoliopsida, Arecales, Arecaceae.
CUCUCUCUCUCUCUCUCUCUCUCUCAAUGACAUCUCUUCUCCAAAAGCUCCUCAAAAGACUUCCCCCCAACCCUCCCCUUCGAAUCCUCGCAUCCUUUGCCAACCCCCAGCUCGCAAAUCCCCCGCUCCAUCCAUCCCUUCUCCACGACCCACUCCCCCGAACCAAUCCGAGCCCGAACCCUUCUUCCUUCCCUUCUCUUCCCGAUGGCUUCCGCCAAUCCCUCCAAUUUUACCCCGGCUUCCCCCAUUGUUUUGAUUUGAAUCCGGUCUCCCGAUCCGGAUUCGAUCGAUGCGAUGAGGAGAGUGACAGCGAUCCAGGGGUUGGUGAGGAGGGAUGCGAUCGCACGGUGUGGGCCGACAGUGUGAAGAAGAAAAGGAAGAGGAAGAUGAACAAGCACAAGUACAAGAAGCUGCGGAAGAGACUUCGGCGCAAGAAAUCUUGAUCUGGAAAGUGCUGCACGUCUUGAGGAAUAUAAGAAAUCAAUUGAUGGGAAACUUGCUCUCCGUCAUAGUAAUCUGAAUCCUGAAAGGCCUGGUCUGCUCGUUGCUUCAUCAGAGAUACAAAGACUUCUCUCCUUGUCUUAUUCAGGGCCUCCUGAAAGUGUUCUUUCAGGAAAAUGUGGUGAUGAUUUGGAUGCAGAUAAAAACAUGAGGGCAAUAAAGAAGAGGAGCACUCUAAAACUUCUAAUGGAACUUUAUUUUGUUGGAGUUGUUGAGGAUGCCAGCAUUUUCGUAAAUAUUAUUAAGGAUCUUACUAGCUUGGAACAUUUAAAAGAUCGGGAUGCAACUCAGACAAAUUUGUCCCUUCUUACCAGUUUUGCUCGACAAGGCAGAUAUUUCUUAGGGCUCCAGCUCCAUCAGCCUGGACAAGAAGUUCAUGAUGAGGUACUACCUAGAAUUUGCUAAGUUUUAUGCUACUGCUUUUGUAAGUUGACUUAGUAUGGAUGAUGGUUAGGUCUUGUUCUGCCAAAUUGGUGGACCUAUUAAUGGGAAUUUUGAAAUUGUUUGCAUA